RNAcentral lists this ribosomal RNA (1321 nucleotides) under metagenome. Its description in RNAcentral is "bacterial LSU rRNA". It matches the Rfam family "Bacterial large subunit ribosomal RNA", at positions 1561 to 2925 of the family's 2925-position model. The record is from RNAcentral.
AGUGGAUGGGGAGCAACCUAGUUGUGCGUGUGUAAAGGUAGUGCCAAGAAAAGCGAUGAUCAUGUUGAAAAUCAAUUCCCGGUACCCGAAACCGACACAGGUGGGCAAGUAGAGAAUACUAAGGGGCGCGAGGUAACUCUCUCCAAGGAACUCGGCAAAAUGACCCCGUAACUUAGGGAGAAGGGGUGCCACCGAGAGGUGGUCGCAGUGAAGAGGCCCAGGCGACUGUUUAGCAAAAACAUAGGUCUCUGCAAACUCGAAAGAGGAGGUAUAGGGGCUGACGCCUGCCCAGUGCCGGAAGGUUAAAGAAGUUGGUCAGUUUUAGGAUGAAGCUAGCGACUGAAGCCCCGGUGAACGGCGGCCGUAACUAUAACGGUCCUAAGGUAGCGAAAUUCCUUGUCGGGUAAGUUCCGACCCGCACGAAAGGCGUAACGAUCUGGGCGCUGUCUCGGAGAGAGGCUCGGCGAAAUAGGAUUGUCUGUGAAGAUACGGACUACCUGCAUUUGGACAGAAAGACCCUAUGAAGCUUUACUAUAGCUUGGAAUUGUGUUCGGGCUUCCUGUGCGCAGGAUAGGUGGGAGGCGAAGAAGGUAUUCUUGUGGGGAUACUGGAGCCAACGGUGAGAUACCACUCUCAGGAGGCUAGAAUUCUAACUUAAUUAAGGACAGUUUCAGGUGGGUAGUUUGACUGGGGCGGUCGCCUCCAAAAAGGUAACGGAGGCGUACAAAGGUUCCCUCAGACUGGUUGGAAAUCAGUCGCAGAGUGCAAAGGCAGAAGGGAGCUUGACUGCGAGAAGUACAGUUCGAGCAGGGUGGAAACACGGUCUUAGUGAUCCGACGGUGCUGUGUGGAAGGGCCGUCGCUCAACGGAUAAAAGUUACUCUAGGAUAACAGGCUGAUCUCCCCCAAGAGUUCACAUCGACGGGGAGGUUUGGCACCUCGAUGUCGGCUCAUCGCAACCUGGGGCGGAAGUACGUCCCAAGGGUUGGGCUGUUCGCCCAUUAAAGCGGUACGUGAGCUGGGUUCAGAACGUCGUGAGACAGUUCGGUCCAUAUCCGAUGUAGGCGUGAGAAUAUUGAGAGGAGCCUUCCUUAGUACGAGAGGACCGGGAAGGACGCACCGCUGGUGUACCUGUUAUGAUGCCAAUUGUAAACGCAGGGUAGCCUAGUGCGGAGAGGAUAACCGCUGAAAGCAUCUAAGUGGGAAGCCCACCUCAAGAUGAGUAUUCUGGUGUAAGGUCACGGGAAGACGACCCGUAAAUAGGCACGAGGUGGAAGUGCAGAGAUGUAUGAAGCCGAAGUGUACUAAUAGACCGUCGGCUU